ACCAAGUUUGUAGCUAUCGGCGCAGAGCGGCGGCAGAGCUCGGAUUUGAAGCUGGCCCCUUCGGGGACCGCAUUGUAAUUUGCAGAGGAUGCUUCGGGAGCGGCCCCCAUCUAAGUGCCCUGGAACGGGCCGUCAUAGAGGGUGAGAAUCCCGUCUGGGAUGGGGUGCCCGCGCCCGUGUGAAGCUCCUUCGACGAGUCGAGUUGUUUGGGAAUGCAGCUCUGAAUGGGUGGUAAAUUUCAUCUAAAGCUAAAUACUGGCCGGAGACCGAUAGCGCACAAGUAGAGUGAUCGAAAGAUGAAAAGCACUUUGAAAAGAGAGUUAAACAGCACGUGAAAUUGUUGAAAGGGAAGCGCUUGCAACCAGACUCGCCCGCAGGGUUCAGCCGGCUUUCGUGCCGGUGUACUUCCCCGCGGGAGGGCCAGCUUCGGUUUGGGCGGACGGUCAAAGGCCCUCGGAAUGUAACGCCCCCCGGGGCGUCUUAUAGCCAAGGGUGCCAUGCGGCCAUUCCGGACCGAGGAACGCGCUUCGGCUCGGACGCUGGCAUAAUGGUCGUAAGCGACCCGUCUUGAAACACGAGACCAA
This 584-nucleotide ribosomal RNA is filed under the name Penicillium javanicum. RNAcentral's name for it is "eukaryotic LSU rRNA". It matches the Rfam family "Eukaryotic large subunit ribosomal RNA", at positions 67 to 669 of the family's 3401-position model. The record is from RNAcentral. Lineage: Eukaryota; Fungi; Ascomycota; Eurotiomycetes; Eurotiales; Aspergillaceae.